This 495-nucleotide ribosomal RNA is filed under the name uncultured bacterium. RNAcentral's name for it is "partial 16S ribosomal RNA". It matches the Rfam family "Bacterial small subunit ribosomal RNA", at positions 28 to 505 of the family's 1533-position model. The record is from RNAcentral.
GAUGAACGCUGGCGGCGUGCCUAAUACAUGCAAGUCGAGCGAACAGACGAGGAGCUUGCUCCUCUGACGUUAGCGGCGGACGGGUGAGUAACACGUGGAUAACCUACCUAUAAGACUGGGAUAACUUCGGGAAACCGGAGCUAAUACCGGAUAAUAUAUUGAACCGCAUGGUUCAAUAGUGAAAGACGGUUUUGCUGUCACUUAUAGAUGGAUCCGCGCCGCAUUAGCUAGUUGGUAAGGUAACAGCUUACCAAGGCAACGAUGCGUAGCCGACCUGAGAGGGUGAUCGGCCACACUGGAACUGAGACACGGUCCAGACUCCUACGGGAGGCAGCAGUAGGGAAUCUUCCGCAAUGGGCGAAAGCCUGACGGAGCAACGCCGCGUGAGUGAUGAAGGUCUUCGGAUCGUAAAACUCUGUUAUUAGGGAAGAACAAAUGUGUAAGUAACUAUGCACGUCUUGACGGUACCUAAUCAGAAAGCCACGGCUAACUACG